UACUUCGCUGUUCCACAGUAC
Molecule: microRNA, 21 nt
Filed under: Selaginella moellendorffii
Lineage: Eukaryota; Viridiplantae; Streptophyta; Lycopodiopsida; Selaginellales; Selaginellaceae
Description: smo-miR1094c
Source: miRBase by way of RNAcentral